GAUUGCCUCAGUAACGGCGAGUGAAGCGGCAACAGCUCAAAUUUGAAAUCUGGCUCCUUCGGGGUCCGAGUUGUAAUUUGCAGAGGAUGCGUCGGGUACGGGUCCCUACCGAGUUCCCUGGAACGGGACGCCAUAGAGGGUGAGAGCCCCGUCUGGUAGGAUACCCAGCCCAUGUGACGCUCCCUCGACGAGUCGAGUAGUUUGGGAAUGCUGCUCUAACGGGAGGUAUACUCCUUCCAAAGCUAAAUACCGGCUGGAGACCGAUAGCGCACAAGUAGAGUGAUCGAAAGAUGAAAAGCACUUUGAAAAGAGAGUCAAACAGCACGUGAAAUUGUUAAAAGGGAAGCACUCGCUACCAGACUUGGGUUUGGCGGUUCAACCGGGGCCACGCCCCGGGGCAUUCCGCCAGCUCAGGCCAGCAUCAGCUUUCCGUCGGGGGCAAAGACGUCGGGAAUGUGGCUCCCCCUCGGGGGAGUGUUAUAGCCCGGCGUGUCAUACCCUUCGGGGGGCUGAGGUACGCGCUUCUGCAAGGAUGCUGGCGUAAUGGUAGCUAGUGACCCGUCUUGAAACACGGACCAGGGAGUCAACCUUAUGUGCGAGUGCCCAGGCCGUAAAACCCCCGCGCGUAAUGAAAGUCAACGUAGGUCAGAGCUUCGGCGCAUCACCGACGGAUCCUGAUGUCCUCGGACGGUAUUUCAGUGAGAGCAUAUCGGUGCUGGGACCCCUAAGUAGGAUCACCUAUGCCGAGUGCAGCGGCGAAGCCAUAAGAAAACUCUAGUGGAAGGCUCCCAGAGUUUCUUAACGUAGCAAAUUGGAUCGUU
This 821-nucleotide ribosomal RNA is filed under the name Plectosphaerella cucumerina. Its description in RNAcentral is "LSU rRNA". It matches the Rfam family "Eukaryotic large subunit ribosomal RNA", at positions 73 to 906 of the family's 3401-position model. The record is from RNAcentral. Lineage: Eukaryota; Fungi; Ascomycota; Sordariomycetes; Glomerellales; Plectosphaerellaceae.